UACAGAGGGUGCGAGCGUUAAUCGGAAUUACUGGGCGUAAAGGGCGCGUAGGCGGUUUAGUGAGUGUGAUGUGAAAGCCCUGGGCUUAACCUAGGAAGAGCAUCGCAAACGACUAAACUGGAGUAUAUGAGGAGGGUGGUGGAAUUUCCGGUGUAGCGGUGAAAUGCGUAGAGAUCGGAAGGAACGUCAAUGGCGAAGGCAGCCACCGUGGCAUAAUACUGACGCUGAGGCGCGAAAGCGUGGGUAGCGGAACAGG
Molecule: ribosomal RNA, 256 nt
Filed under: uncultured bacterium
Lineage: Bacteria
Description: partial 16S ribosomal RNA
Rfam family: Bacterial small subunit ribosomal RNA
Source: RNAcentral